This 889-nucleotide ribosomal RNA is filed under the name Bacillus sp. (in: firmicutes). RNAcentral describes it as "bacterial SSU rRNA". It matches the Rfam family "Bacterial small subunit ribosomal RNA", at positions 52 to 921 of the family's 1533-position model. Lineage: Bacteria; Bacillati; Bacillota; Bacilli; Caryophanales; Bacillaceae. The record is from RNAcentral.
UACAUGCAAGUCGAGCGGAGAAAUGGGAGCUUGCUCCCAUUUCUCAGCGGCGGACGGGUGAGUAACACGUGGGCAACCUGCCCUACAGACUGGGAUAACUCCGGGAAACCGGAGCUAAUACCGGGUAAUACAUAGCAUCGCAUGAUGCAACGUUGAAAGUUGGCCUUUGGCUAACACUGUAGGAUGGGCCCGCGGCGCAUUAGCUAGUUGGUAAGGUAACGGCUUACCAAGGCCACGAUGCGUAGCCGACCUGAGAGGGUGAUCGGCCACACUGGGACUGAGACACGGCCCAGACUCCUACGGGAGGCAGCAGUAGGGAAUCUUCCGCAAUGGACGAAAGUCUGACGGAGCAACGCCGCGUGAGUGACGAAGGCCUUCGGGUCGUAAAGCUCUGUUGUUAGGGAAGAACAAGUACCGUUCGAAUAGGGCGGUACCUUGACGGUACCUAACCAGAAAGCCACGGCUAACUACGUGCCAGCAGCCGCGGUAAUACGUAGGUGGCAAGCGUUGUCCGGAAUUAUUGGGCGUAAAGCGCGCGCAGGCGGUCUCUUAAGUCUGAUGUGAAAGCCCACGGCUCAACCGUGGAGGGCCAUUGGAAACUGGGGGACUUGAGUGCAGAAGAGGAGAGUGGAAUUCCACGUGUAGCGGUGAAAUGCGUAGAUAUGUGGAGGAACACCAGUGGCGAAGGCGGCUCUCUGGUCUGUAACUGACGCUGAGGCGCGAAAGCGUGGGGAGCGAACAGGAUUAGAUACCCUGGUAGUCCACGCCGUAAACGAUGAGUGCUAGGUGUUUGGGGGGGUUCCACCCUCAGUGCUGAAGUUAACACAUUAAGCACUCCGCCUGGGGAGUACGACCGCAAGGUUGAAACUCAAAGGAAUUGACGGGGGCC